Molecule: ribosomal RNA, 274 nt
Filed under: uncultured bacterium
Lineage: Bacteria
Description: partial 16S ribosomal RNA
Rfam family: Bacterial small subunit ribosomal RNA
Source: RNAcentral
AUACGGAGGGUGCAAGCGUUACUCGGAAUCACUGGGCGUAAAGCGCGCGCAGGCGGUCUUUUAAGUUGGAUGUGAAAGCCUACGGCUCAACCGUAGAACUGCAUCCAAAACUAUUAGACUAGAGUGUGGGAGAGGAAGAUGGAAUUAGUUGUGUAGGGGUAAAAUCCGUAGAGAUAACUAGGAAUACCAAAAGCGAAGGCAAUCUUCUGGAACACUACUGACGCUGAGGCGCGAAGGCGGGGGGAGCAAACAGGAUUAGAAACCCCGGUAGUCC